UACGAGAGGGCCGCUACCACGCAAGUGGAUGCCAAUCCCCAAAACCUCUCUCAGUUCGGAUUGAAGUCUGCAACCCGACUUCAUGAAGCUGGAUUCGCUAGUAAUCGCGCAUCAGCCACGGCGCGGUGAAUACGUUCCCGGGCCUUGUACACACCGCCCGUCAAGCCAUGGGAGCCGGGGGUACCUGAAGUGCGUAACCGCAAGGAGCGCCCUAGGGUAAAACUGGUGACUGGGGCUAAGUCGUAACAAGGUAUC
Molecule: ribosomal RNA, 255 nt
Filed under: uncultured bacterium
Lineage: Bacteria
Description: partial 16S ribosomal RNA
Rfam family: Bacterial small subunit ribosomal RNA
Source: RNAcentral